Molecule: ribosomal RNA, 486 nt
Filed under: uncultured bacterium
Lineage: Bacteria
Description: partial 16S ribosomal RNA
Rfam family: Bacterial small subunit ribosomal RNA
Source: RNAcentral
AUUGAACGCUGGCGGCAUGCCUUACACAUGCAAGUCGAACGGCAGCACGGGUGCUUGCACCUGGUGGCGAGUGGCGAACGGGUGAGUAAUACAUCGGAACAUGUCCUGUAGUGGGGGAUAGCCCGGCGAAAGCCGGAUUAAUACCGCAUACGAUCUACGGAUGAAAGCGUGGGACCUUCGGGCCUCGCGCUGUAGGGUUGGCCGAUGGCUGAUUAGCUAGUUGGUGGGGUAAAGGCCUACCAAGGCGACGAUCAGUAGCUGGUCUGAGAGGACGACCAGCCACACUGGGACUGAGACACGGCCCAGACUCCUACGGGAGGCAGCAGUGGGGAAUUUUGGACAAUGGGCGAAAGCCUGAUCCAGCAAUGCCGCGUGUGUGAAGAAGGCCUUCGGGUUGUAAAGCACUUUUGUCCGGAAAGAAAUCCUUGGCCCUAAUACGGUCGGGGGAUGACGGUACCGGAAGAAUAAGCACCGGCUAACUACGUG